CAGCCGCCACGGGAAUACAGAGGGUGCAAGCGUUAAUCGGAAUUACUGGGCGUAAAGCGCGCGUAGGUGGUUUGUUAAGUUGGAUGUGAAAUCCCCGGGCUCAACCUGGGAACUGCAUCCAAAACUGUCAAGCUAGAGUAUGGUAGAGGGUGGUGGAAUUUCCUGUGUAGCGGUGAAAUGCGUAGAUAUGCGGAGGAACACCGAUGGCGAAGGCAAUCCCCUGGGCCUGUACUGACGCUGAGGUACGAAAGCAUGGGGAGCAAACAGGAUUAGAUACCCCCGUAGUCCCUGUCUCUUAUAC
This 301-nucleotide ribosomal RNA is filed under the name uncultured bacterium. Its description in RNAcentral is "partial 16S ribosomal RNA". It matches the Rfam family "Bacterial small subunit ribosomal RNA", at positions 509 to 807 of the family's 1533-position model. The record is from RNAcentral.